GAAGUUCAACAAAAGAAAAUUCUCAUUGUCUGCAUUUCUAUUUAUCCUACAAUAUUAGAAACAGAAUAAUGUUCUAUAAAUGAAUUAUUGUUUAUUCCCUAUCAUGAUUAUCACCAAAAAUAAUGUUGUCUUAUAGAGGAAGAAGAUGUUACAGAAAAAGAUCCAUUCCAAGUGUCAGAUAUCUUACUGCAUUUGCUAUUUCACAGUUGAACAGGAUAUGACACUUGACCACAAGAACCUUAUAAUAAAGCAGGACAUACACAUACACUAUAGGGAUACAACCACUAUGUGUGCUAAAAUGUGACAAGAGAUAAUAUAGAAAAUAUCAGGAAAAGUCUGAGACAACACAGAAUAAUGAAAAGUGACUUCUAAUCUGUAGGUGGGAAAUUAGCUUUCUUAGAAAUAUUGUGAAAUGGAUAGUGUUUUUUAAGUAACGAUAAUGAAGUAAGUGAUAUCCCAGUUUAAGUAUUAGGCAGGAAUUAGACAGGAAACGGAGAGAAAUACAAGUUGACAGGGGCCUCAAUCUUCACUGUGCAUCUGCUUCACCUGAAGAACUUUUAAAAAAUACACAUGCCUGGGCGCCACCCAAAAAUUCCAAAUCAGUCAGUAGUGGUGGACUACAGCAUUAUUACUUUUUUAACUUCCCACAUGAUUUUAUCUUUAGUAAGAUCUGAGACCACCAAGCAGUGAAAGAAAAUAAAGAAUAUUAAGUGUUUAAAAUGUAUGAUUCAGAGGUAGUUCCUCCCAUAUUAAAAAGCUUGUACUUAAUUUUAGCUUUUGGAAAAUGACAUGAAUAAUAUGAUGGUUUUGUUAAUCCCAGUAUAGAGUUCUCUACAUUUUUGGGGACCAUUUUCAUCUUGGACGUGGACCAACUAUGGAGACGCCCAAGCAGAUGGCCUGCAAUGAAGUUUCGAAGAGGUUCUGGACAUCCUGCAUAUGCUGAAGUAGAACCAGUUGGAGAGAAAGAAGGUUUUAUUGUAUCAGAGCAGUGCUAAAAUUUCUAGAACAGAGCAGCACCAGUACUGGCCUACAGGUGUUAAGACUAAAAUUUUGCUUAUACCUUUAAGACAAACAAAAAAACACAUACAUACAAAGGAGCCCUAGGCUGCUGUAGCCUGAAGGAGACAAGAUUUCUGGACAAGCCCAGCCCAGGAAGGGUGAAAGAAAGAAAACUCAAACUUACACAAGAUACCAUAUUACCACUGAACAUAGAAUUCCCUAGUGGAAUGACAUCUAUAGUUCACUCAGAACAUCUCUUAUGGACUUACCAGAAGUAUGACAAGGUUACAGUGCUGUUGGCUUAGAUGCAGGGUGCAUAGGGAUGGAGAAAAUAGUAAUAAUAAUAAAGCUUUAGUUCUCAAGGGAUCUAUAACUUUGGUUCAAAUGUUCUUCUCUGAUGUCUCAAAGAUAACUGUUUCAAAGCUUUAACCCUUUCACUCAAAAAAAAAGUUUCAAGAUUGCUGAGAAAAUUAGUUCAUGCCAGAGCAAAAACAAACACAAAAUAGGAUAUUUUCUAUCUUUUCAAAACAGGUAUGUGGUAAAAGGAUUUUGUUUAUCUGGUCUAGAUCCAUCUGUUCCAAGAAGUUCAUUACUUACAAGACACAUCUUUUAUCUGUACAAGAGGUUCAAACUGUGCCUCCCUCUUUUUUGGUAGUGAAUACCCUUCCAUGGCUGUGACAGAAUUUCCAAACCUUUACCUCUGUUAGAAAAGAGGGAAUGGCAAGUGAGGCUUUCAAUUUUCCUGCUUCAGAUUAGAACACAUGACUUGUUUUAAGAAGCUUUGCCUCCAUUUUCCCAACUGUGAAGUCAAGCAAAGUCCACAGUUGCUCUUGGCUGAAGGAAACAAUACAAAGAGUUCCUUAAUCAUUUUUAAAGCAACAAUGUUAAGGGAUAUUAAACAUAUGAAUUUUUAAGUUUUUGCUUUUUCAGUACUAACGGCCCAUUUCAUUGUCGAUUUCUGUCUAAGAAGCCAUUCAAGUCCAGCACACAUCCCUGGUGAUAAAAAAUGAAUGACAGUGUUUCAAAACCCUGUUGAAUCAUACAGUACUUUUCUUUAAAGCACAUAGUAGUGACAUAAAUAUAUAUAUAAAUAUAUUUUUGUUUAUAACUAACACAAGGCAGGCUCUUGUGACUCUAAGAGUGCAUUUUGUCGCCAAGACAAAACAAAUGCAAGAUGCAUUACUGCAUAUUUCCAUAGAGUUGUAAAAUAAUCCUUAAUAUUAGAAUAUUUUUAUGUCAUUUAGCAAAAGUGGUUCAAUUAGUUGCAGGGCUGAUGAUUCCUCUGCCUAUUUGACCUACUCUUUCAUUCAUAUGAACCCCUUCCCUCCCUGGUUAGGUAAAGCAGAAGCAAAAAGUUCCUUAGAUGGAUCUGUUAUUUGUCCUGUAAUCACAAUCCAAAUUUUAAAAAUUUCCCAUGAAUGAAAAAAAGAAAAGGCAUCCCUAAAGGAUCGAAUACACUGAGCUCCUAAAGUUUAAAUUCAAGAACUGUGUGUAUAAUUUCAUCAACAUCCUGACCUAUGAAACUUUCAUAUUCUGUGCCAAGAAGCUGUUGAUUCUUGUGUUCAACAUUUGCAGAUUCAGGUAUAAAGGAGCAGAGAUGUCUUGUAAGCAGCACUUUUGUAACAGCUCAGCAUCUUAACACAAUGUCUAUAUUAAAUGGCAUCAGUCCACCAACAUGAUAUCAGAUUUUAACUUCAGAAUUGUCUGAAGUAAAUGAGUGCUGUUUUCUGACACAUAUAUUUUGCUUUACAUUUUUAAGUAUCAGAUGAGGGUGGUAACUUUCUCCUAACUUGGUUAAUAAUUGGGAAAAAAAUUGAAAAGCAAGGUGAUUGAAGGAUGUGAUGACAAUCUUUCUGCUGUAACUACAAUUUAUAUGAAAUAUCACAACUUAUUCCUUGGGGAGUAGGUUUGGUCAGAUAGCAAUAAUCAAAUGACUUGCCAAUAUAACUGGUGCAACUGGUAUUCUACAAAUACAUAAGGGACACAUAAAUGACUUCCUUGUAGGAUAAGAUGAUGCUUCUUUCACUAGCUUUUGUGGUGGUGCAGCCUCCAAUAGCAGUUGACUGACAGUUAUAUAAGUCCUACACAUAUAUCUGACUCCUUACACAAUUCUUGUUAGUAAUCCUUAUACCUUUAUCUUCCAUUUUAGACUGAAAAGAAUUGACAGUUCUGGGGGAAAAUAUAAACCUUCUGAAUUGCUCUGUGAGCUAGAGCACAAAGUAAUAGAGGAGAUAUUUUGGAAGUAAAAGGGCUGCUAAAGUUUGGGGAAACCUCCUUACAAACUAGGAGUUAUAAGUGGUGAGAAGUGUCUGUUGUAUAUGAAUCCUUUAGUGAUAAAGGAAAAUAUUGGCUGAAUCCCUUUUUUUCAUGAAACUUUUGUUCUAUUUUAUAUUGCUGGCUUGUUCUUGGUGCCCAUUUACUGCAAAGGAAGAGCAAACAUACACAGUUUCUGGAAAUUCAGAAUGGACAUUGAUGCUUUAGACUUUACAUGUAUUAUGUAUUAGAGAGGGUGUGUGUGCAUACCACUUAAUAUACUAUGAUUGCACAGGCACAGUAAUCAUAGUAGAGAGAGAAUAAUAAUAAAAAGUUAAAAGUACAAAGGCACACGCACAAAAUUCUAGCAAAAUCAGAUAAUUGAUAACAGAGGAAGUUAACUGUUUAAAGCUUAACCACUUGUAAAAAUAAUAUUCAGUGAUUAAGUAAAGGUACUAAGAGUCAAGAAAAACAUCUUAAGCCAACUGUUUAGCACUAACCACAAUGUUGGUUUGUUUAUGAAAUUCAGGAUUUACUAACAGAAAGCUAACGAUAAAGUGGCAAUUUACCCCCAAUGGUUAUUUUAGUUUGAGAUGCCUAGGACAUUUGACAGUCUCUCACAUGUGACUUCUAGAGUUGUGCUGUCCAACAUAAUAGUCACUAGCCACUCGUGAGUAAUGAAAAUUAAAUAAAAUUUAAAAUUUAGUUCCUCAGUCACACUAGCCACAAUUCAAGUGUAAUAGCUGCACGUGGCUAGUGGCUACCAUAUUGGACAAUACAGAUAGAACAUUUCCAUCAUCACAAGACCUGCUAUAAACCAAACCAAACUUGUUGCCGUUGAGUCUAUUCUGACUCUUAGCGAUCCUAUAGGACAGAGUAGAACUGCCCCAUAAAGUUUCCAAGGAGCUAUAGAGUUCUUUUAAUUCUCUUUCCUUGGAAGAGGAGGAGGAAGGAAAGAAGAUUUGGUAGCAUUUGUGUACAUCCAAGUGAUUUUCGUCUCAGAAAAGCACCAUAGAGUAAUGAAAAGAAUACUAGCUGACCCAGCUUUGAGUCUCCACUGUUAUCUUAGGAAGAUCACUCUGAUUUCCAUAAGUCUCAAUUUGCAAUUUUGGUAAAUAAAAAUAAUUUUUGUCCUAUCUUACUUGCAGGAUUACUUAUGUAGACUGGAAAAUGUAUAGAUUAGUAAAGACUUUUAAAGCCUUAUA
Long non-coding RNA from Trichechus manatus latirostris (Florida manatee), 4457 nucleotides. RefSeq lists it as uncharacterized. Lineage: Eukaryota; Metazoa; Chordata; Mammalia; Sirenia; Trichechidae. The transcript has 2 exons. The record is from RefSeq and is a predicted model, not a curated record.